Molecule: ribosomal RNA, 253 nt
Filed under: uncultured bacterium
Lineage: Bacteria
Also listed under: 1 other name
Description: partial 16S ribosomal RNA
Rfam family: Bacterial small subunit ribosomal RNA
Source: RNAcentral
UACGGAGGGUGCGAGCGUUGUCCGGAAUCAUUGGGCGUAAAGGGCGCGUAGGUGGCCUGCUAAGCGUGCGGUGAAAGCUCGGGGCUCAACCCCGAGUCGGCCGUGCGAACUGGUGGGCUUGAGCACUGUAGAGGCAGGCGGAAUUCCGGGUGUAGCGGUGGAAUGCGUAGAGAUCCGGAAGAACACCGGUGGCGAAGGCGGCCUGCUGGGCAGUAGCUGACACUGAGGCGCGACAGCGUGGGGAGCAAACAGG